CGCCGUCGUCCGGGCGCACGUCGGUCGGAGAACGGGUGGUUGAAGAGUUAAUAGGAUGGACUGGUCGUAAAGCUACCGCAAGCGGUCUGGCCAGUCGGGUGUGAAAUACCCGGGGUCAACCUGGGAACUGCAUACGAAACUGGCAGGCUAGAGUCUUGUAGAGGGGAGUAGAAGUCCAGGUGUAGCGGUGAAAUGCGUAGAGAUCUGGAGGAAUACCGGUGGCGAAGGCGGCCCCCUGGACAAAGACUGACGCUCAGGUGCGAAAGCGUGGGGAGCAAACAGGAUUAGAUACCUGGUAGUC
Molecule: ribosomal RNA, 301 nt
Filed under: uncultured Arthrobacter sp.
Lineage: Bacteria; Bacillati; Actinomycetota; Actinomycetes; Micrococcales; Micrococcaceae
Description: bacterial SSU rRNA
Rfam family: Bacterial small subunit ribosomal RNA
Source: RNAcentral